This 270-nucleotide ribosomal RNA is filed under the name uncultured prokaryote. RNAcentral describes it as "partial 16S ribosomal RNA". It matches the Rfam family "Bacterial small subunit ribosomal RNA", at positions 524 to 792 of the family's 1533-position model. The record is from RNAcentral.
UACGUAGGGGGCAAGCGUUGUCCGGAAUUACUGGGGCGUAAAGCGCACGCAGGCUGACUUAUAAGUCGGUAGUCUAAUGCGGAGGCUCAACUUCCGUUUAUCUAUCGAUACUGUAAGACUAGAGUAUGUGAGAGGGAAGUGGAAUUCCCGGUGUAGCGGUGAAAUGCGUAGAUAUAUGGAGGAACACCAGUGGCGAAGGCGACUUUCUGGCACAAUACUGACGCUCAUGUGCGAAAGCUAGGGUAGCGAACGGGAUUAGAUACCCGGGUA